Molecule: long non-coding RNA, 1454 nt
Organism: Gadus chalcogrammus (walleye pollock)
Lineage: Eukaryota; Metazoa; Chordata; Actinopteri; Gadiformes; Gadidae
Exons: 4
Source: RefSeq, a predicted model, not a curated record
CUGGAGGGAGGCUUGAGUUGUGCAAGUGACUCGACUGUUGUGCUAUUGUUUGUUUUAAGUAAGAAUAUGUUUUUCACCAACAACAUUGUGCAUCAAGUUUAUUUAAGUUGAUACCGGUGAGACACGUUAUCGAAAGAAGAUGUUAAAGACCUUUUGAAGUAAAGAGGAGCAUCUCAUCUGGACCUGAUGUCUAUAUUUAACUGCAGUUCUGUGAGUAUCCCCACUUAACCAUGAAGAUGAACUGCGAUCUGUAAGUCAAUAGUUUCUCAUUACUCUUGGGCACAUUGCUGUACUUUGGUUUCCUGGUGAGUUAACCCGUUAGCUGAAGGUUGAUCUGAGUAGUAAGGAUGUUUUAUUGGUUCAUGCGUUUGGUUUUUGUUGGUUUUAAUGGUUUGUUAAAACGGUUAAAGGUUCUAAGUUAUUGUUGUAAGCUGGAGUAAUGGCUUGGGUUCUGAUGUCUUCAGUCUUCUUUCCAGCUACUCUCCUGAGCUCUGCAUCAUCUUCACAUGAGUGUUUCAUUACUGAUGAGGGUGUGGUCUGAGUGAGCAGAGGCACAUACUGGGAUACAGAGCUGUCUGAAGUCUACAGGUCUGUAGACACGCCCCCUCAGGGGAAACUGAGUGUUUGAGAAACCGUCAUGACAACCAGGACUCUACCAUCAAGGAUUCCUCACACACCUGAGCUGAACCUCACCUGAUCCUGUUUGGUCGGGGGCAGACACACCUGAGCUGAACCUCACCUGAUCCUGUUUGGUCGGGGGCAGACACACCUGAGCUGAACCUCCCCUGAUCCUGUUUGGUCGGGGGCAGACACACCUGAGCUGAACCCCACCUGAUCCUGUUUGGUCGGGGGCAGACACACCUGAGCUGAACCCCACCUGAUGCUGUUUGGUCCGGGCAGACACACCUGAGCUGAACCCCACCUGAUCCUGACACCCUGCUGGUCCCGUCUCCUCAGUUCAUCUGAGCCUCGUCCUCCAGAAGACCUGCUGAGCUCAGCGGUCUGAGGCUGAUGGAUCAAUGACCUCCAGUGGGAGUGAUCUUCUUGACCCCACAUGUACCCGUGUGCCUCCACACGCCUUUCCCUCACUACUUCCCUAACCUCACUACUUCCCUAACCUCACUACUUCCCUAUCCUUCCUCUUCUUCUUCCUUCUCCGUGGUUCGAACCUUUACUCUGAAGGAGUGUCUUCUUGAACCUUUACACUGAAGGAGCGUCUUCCUGCCCUCAGAGGGUACAGCGUUAGGGUUGAGAGUCAGGGUUUAGAGUCAGGGACAGCUCGUCAGGGAGGACUGGUUUUAAACAAACCUCUUCACUUGCUUUCUGAAUGGUGGUCAAAUUUUGAAAUGUAUCAUUUGGGAAACUGUUUUCCUCUGCUUUCCUUUGCAAAUAUAUGUAUUAAACUUCUGUCAAGUGUUUUUGUUUAUAUAUUAAAAUCCUACAUUGACCUCUGC